This 402-nucleotide ribosomal RNA is filed under the name uncultured Coriobacteriaceae bacterium. Its description in RNAcentral is "partial 16S ribosomal RNA". It matches the Rfam family "Bacterial small subunit ribosomal RNA", at positions 355 to 774 of the family's 1533-position model. The record is from RNAcentral. Lineage: Bacteria; Bacillati; Actinomycetota; Coriobacteriia; Coriobacteriales; Coriobacteriaceae.
UGGGGAAUCUUGCGCAAUGGGCGAAAGCCUGACGCAGCAACGCCGCGUGCGGGAUGAAGGCCUUCGGGUUGUAAACCGCUUUCAGCAGGGAUGAGACUGACAGUACCUGCAGAAGAAGCCCCGGCUAACUACGUGCCAGCAGCCGCGGUAAUACGUAGGGGGCAAGCGUUAUCCGGAUUUAUUGGGCGUAAAGCGCGCGUAGGUGGGCUGUUAAGCGAGAUGUGAAAACCGGGGGCUCAACCCGCGGCCUGCAUCUCGAACUGGCAGCCUUGAGUCUGGUAGAGGGAAGUGGAAUUCCGAGUGUAGCGGUGAAAUGCGCAGAUAUUCGGAAGAACACCAGUGGCGAAGGCGGCUUCCUGGGCCACGACUGACACUGAGGCGCGAAAGCUAGGGGAGCGAACA